UAGGGCGCUUUGUGCCAACCUUAACGCCGUAGUGGGACUCAUACCAUGCCCGGAAGGGAGCAGCAUCCACUUGAACAAUUGCGUUCUUUACCAGGGUCUUGGUGCGGAG
Molecule: non-coding RNA, 109 nt
Filed under: Schmidingerella taraikaensis
Lineage: Eukaryota; Ciliophora; Spirotrichea; Tintinnida; Rhabdonellidae
Source: RNAcentral